This is a non-coding RNA of Chiloscyllium plagiosum (whitespotted bambooshark), 609 nucleotides long. The record is from RefSeq and is a predicted model, not a curated record. Lineage: Eukaryota; Metazoa; Chordata; Chondrichthyes; Orectolobiformes; Hemiscylliidae.
CACCCCACCUCCCCCCAGACCCAGGAGGACAAGACCUUGGCUAUUUCCCUCUAUCCACGCCCUUCACGUUUUUAUUUAAUGACGGUUUUUAAUAGUCAUUUCUGCCCAGGCCCUUGCUCACUAUUCUAUUGUUAAAUUAUUUUUUUCAGGUGGAAACAGCUCGUAAGACAAGGUCGAAGGAGGACUAUUCCAAGGUGGUGUUGGUGUCUGAUAAACUCUGUCUGGGACAGUUCAAUAGCCCUUUACAGUAUACAGUGUGGAGGGAAAUGCUGGAUAGCAUCCACCCUGUAGCUGGGGUUGUGAAAAGACUGCCACAUCUCUUUUUGCUACAGCUGAAAACGGGAGUUCGCUCUCUUUCUCUCCCUCAGAAUUGCCUUUUGAUGUUCUUUCCUCCUGGAUUGGAGAACUGCAUGUGAGAAUCUGACUCUGAACUUGCCUUUUGCCAAGAUUCUGCUAAUGGGCUGUUGCUAUAUUUGAUCAGUUAAUUAGUGAUAGCUACUGUGUCUAUUAUUUUGUUAAGUUUGAAUUAGGGUAUUCCAACUCCUCCUUCUUUGCCUAUUUUAUUAUAGUGGAUGAAUAAAGUGCUGAAAAAUGUGUUGCUGGAAAAGC